AUUGGCUGAGGCGCAGCGCGUGGGAGCGGCCGUUGGCGGCCGGCUCGGGGCCACCCGGCUCUCCCCUCAGACAGCGCCGCACCCACAGCCCGGGCCGCCCCGCUCGGCACCGCCGCUGCAGCCGCUGUGCGGGUGUCAUGGUUUUAUCCUUGGUGGUGACUGCAAUUCCACAUCGUAACAUCAUGUAGUGCACCUGGAGUUAAAGCAUUAAUGCUCCAGUUCCGGGCACCUGUCUGAAAGAGAAGAACUACAUUCCCAGGGGGGCUUUGCGGUCAGAGAGGAGAUAGAACCUCUGGCAAAGUCACCUGAUCUCCUCUUCUUCCCUCGGCUCUCGUCCCGACCACACGCAUCGCCUCAGCACUACUAUCGUUGCCGCUGCUUUUAAUUAUUUUGGGGUCCCCUGUUUCCCUUUUCUGGAGGUGUGGAUUUUGCGAAAUCCCUCCACCCCGCUGGUCACAGAACUGAGCCGAACCAGCCUGUAAACCAUUGACAGCGGGCAGUACUGAGAUGGAACCGCGGCACUGAGGAGCGGUGCUGAGGACAGCAGUGCCACAGCUCUACAUGUAACACUACAACAAACGUGACAGACGAAGACCCAUCCCUGUGGAGCGGCACUACUCCCUCCACGUUCUCCAGAACCAUCGGCGCAACCUGGGCCUGGUGGGCGGCACAUCUUCCAGCACGCUGAGGAUCAGCAGUGUCUGCAGCACCAGACAGCGCACGGCCGGCUCGCUGUCCUCCUUGGCGCCCUCCAGGGCUGCAAUGGAGCGGUGCUGUGUCACCACGUGGGCCCCACAUGGCACUUCCCGGGGCACGGGGCAGCGGGGGGGACGGCU
This is a long non-coding RNA of Gallus gallus (chicken), 836 nucleotides long. RefSeq lists it as uncharacterized. Lineage: Eukaryota; Metazoa; Chordata; Aves; Galliformes; Phasianidae. The transcript has 3 exons. The record is from RefSeq and is a predicted model, not a curated record.